CUCUACUAUGCCCAGAACCAAAGAUAUCAGCCUUCAAGCAGCUGGUACCUGCUCAAGCUCCACACGUCUAAUAUCAAGUUUUAUAUAUUUGUUGGUUAAUUGCUCUGGCUCCUGAACUCUGAUCCCCAAGUCCCCAGUUCCUCCUGACAGCCCAAAGUUCCUGAUAAUGCGUACACCCCUUCUGGGGGUUUAUGUUCCUCUAUAGUAAUCCCCUAAUCUUUCUCAGACAUAGAGCAACACCUGGCAGAGCAAACCAUCAUUGUCAGCAACUAAUGCAGGCUUCUGCAGCCAAUGCAUUGCAAAGUUAAAAGCAACAAAUGUGUUAACCUACAGCGCACAUGUAAUUACUUUCCACCUGUUUGUUUAUGAGACCUGCUAACAGACAUAAAAUAAGAAAGGGCAUUCACUUACGUGUCCCAAGGCGUCAGAAUAUUUAGACAAUUUGUUAGAAAGAAAAAGAGACUUCAUUGAGUUUUAUUAGUUUACUUCUGAUCCCAGUGCACUGAAAUAUGACAAACAGUAGCAAGGAUAGGAGGAUAACAGCAGUCAGCAAAGUGGGAAGUAGUGGGAAUUGCUGUGUAACGCUUUCCAGGAACAAAAUAGUUAAACAUUAUCAAAUUUUUAAAUAUAUACAGCAGAUUCCCUGCAUAGCUCUAGUUUAUUUCUAAUACCUGGUAACGUGCCUUGUAGCUUCAUCCAGAAAGGCUGGAGAAAUUCUCCAAAGUGAUUUGAUAAUUGAGUGCUAAUUGAACAACUUUGUUGGGUAAUUCCGAUCACCCCGUAAACCCUCAUACCCAUGGUAAAUGAAAGAAAAUAUAAAGUUUAUUUUUAAACAGCUGAUUUGAACACCGUUUUACACAUGCUUGGAAGGGAAUCCAUUUCAUCCAAACCACAUCCAUCUCCAUCUGCCCAAUAGUUUUACAAAAUAAAUCAUUUUAAAAAUGGUUUAGAUGCAUUUGUUUGAAUAUAAGAAUUCUUAAAGCCUGUAUGCUGCUCUGCGGAAUAAACCUUUCAUAUUCAUUUGAUUAAUUUGCCUGGUAGCAUACAUUAGCCAAAAUUGGGAUUCAGUUAUUUAGAGUAUUCUUCAAUGCGAAAGAGCACAAAUACCCUUAUCCCAAUAUAAUCCAAUCAUUUUCCUGUCCACUAUGGAUAGGCUGAGAUUCAUUGCCUUGUGCCAGGGUCAUUGCCUCAGUUGAUUCUCUGGAUCUAACUUACUGCACCUAAACAUUGACCCUUAUAGGAAAAGUCUAUUCCACCCAGGUUUCAGCAAUAAUUUACAUAUGUUAACCACAUUGAAUUCUAAAAUAAAAUGGUCAUGGUUUACACAGAUGUGUUGUCUCAUGCUUAAACUGAGAGUAUGUGAUUUAUUUUAGAAUGAUUACUCAUCAGCUUACCCUGGAUCCUUAGAUGAUACAUCUUUCGUUUAUUCUUUUUGUCCAACCUAGUCAUGUUUAAGCAAAUUCUAGGUCCAGAAAUUUUUUUCACUGGGGAAUCAUUGGUCUUUAACCCUUUCACAGUCAGCUACAUAUUAUUGGUACAGUAUGAGUAAACAAAUGUAUCAUAAGUUAUUUGAAAGUAUCAUAUCUGCGUAAAUUCUCAGUCUUUGUGAGGAGUAUAAAUGUAAAAUAGGUAUGCGGAGAAAUAAAUGUGAAAAUUAGAAUGUUUACUGUAGUAUGAAAAAUAUUCCUA
This is a long non-coding RNA of Pseudophryne corroboree (corroboree frog), 1689 nucleotides long. RefSeq lists it as uncharacterized. The record is from RefSeq and is a predicted model, not a curated record. Lineage: Eukaryota; Metazoa; Chordata; Amphibia; Anura; Myobatrachidae. The transcript is spliced from 3 exons.